AUAACGACUCUCGGCAACGGAUAUCUCGGCUCUCGCAUCGAUGAAGAACGCAGCGAAAUGCGAUACCUGGUGUGAAUUGCAGAAUCCCGUGAAUCAUCGAGUCUUUGAACGCAAGUUGCGCCCGAGACCAUUCGGUCGAGGGCACGCCUGCCUGGGCGUCACG
RNAcentral lists this ribosomal RNA (163 nucleotides) under Struthanthus orbicularis. Its description in RNAcentral is "5.8S ribosomal RNA". It matches the Rfam family "5.8S ribosomal RNA". From Rfam's summary of the family: 5.8S ribosomal RNA (5.8S rRNA) is a component of the large subunit of the eukaryotic ribosome. It is transcribed by RNA polymerase I as part of the 45S precursor that also contains 18S and 28S rRNA. The record is from RNAcentral. RNAcentral also lists the same sequence under 1 other name. Lineage: Eukaryota; Viridiplantae; Streptophyta; Magnoliopsida; Santalales; Loranthaceae.